AACACCUUGUUAUUUCCUAAAAUAAAAAACUUCAAACCGCGCUCCCAAAAUUGAUUCUGAAUGGAAUUCUGAAACGCUCCCUCAUCUCAUCGUCUCCGAUCGAAUGCCCGUCACGGACCACCGCGGGCCACCACAUCGAAAAUCACUUUCGGCGGUGGUGGCCACCAGAAAUACAAACCAGACACUCAAUUGGAAUCAUCUUUACCUCCCCAAUUCGAAUAUGUAUUCAAUUUCAAACAAAACUGGACCCAUCAUCACAAAUCGGAUUAAAGAGCUAAAGAACCCCAGGGGUUCAAAUACGAAUUACAUGGUGAGGUUUAGGAUCCAGAGCCCUAACUGUUAGGGCUUUGAGGCGCCCUGAGGUAAGCUACAAAAUGAUAACAACAAUGCUACAAAAUGGUGAGGAUGGACCUACCUCCGAAGCCAGGGGUUGCUCUAGCGAAGCAUUGACUCGGAGAAGAUGAAGUAAGCAACAAAAAAUCACUUGAUUAACAGGCUUGUUGGUUGGGAAAUGAUGACCAUGAUGUAGGGUUGUGCUUCUGUAGCAUCAGGAUGUGUUGAAUGCAGCAAUGUAUGGAAUGUUCAGGUCCUGAUGCAGGUCAGGUAUGUGUAGAAUAAUAGGAAUUGGUUUGGCUGUAUAUUGCUUAAAGUAUCAUGGCUUAGUGGUGGUGGAAAGUUAAGGUCUUGUGGUUUUGGUUGCUAAGCUUGCAUUGUUACAUGGUAUGCAUCCUUAUGUCAUUUGCAAUUUUGUGAAUCAUGAAUGUAUUGCUUAUUGGCUUAAAUGACAUGAUGAACUUGGUAUGGUUUUAUAGGUAUGGACAUGGUUGCAAAGCAAUCUUCAAGGCAUGGCAAAUUUCACAAAAAAAAGGUUUCUUAUUCAUGAAGUCAAUGAUCAUGGAAUAUCAUGGAAUGCAAGGAUAAUGAAGAUGUAAUGAGUUUUAGAGGAUGAAAAACAUGUUACUUGACUUUGGUCAAGUGGUUGACCAAAAAGUCAACAUUUGACCAAAAGUCAACUUUCACAAAACUUGUAUUUUUUGUGUUUUCUUUUGUAACUGAUGUAAAUGCCAACUGUAUGAAUGA
Lathyrus oleraceus (garden pea) is the source of this 1080-nucleotide long non-coding RNA. RefSeq lists it as uncharacterized. The transcript is spliced from 3 exons. NCBI's taxonomy places the organism in Eukaryota, Viridiplantae, Streptophyta, Magnoliopsida, Fabales, Fabaceae. The record is from RefSeq and is a predicted model, not a curated record.